CCUACGGGUGGCAGCAGUGGGGAAUAUUGGGCAAUGGGCGCAAGCCUGACCCAGCAACGCCGCGUGAAGGAAGAAAGCUUUCGGGUUGUAACCUUCUUUUGUCAGGGACGAAGCAAGUGACGGUACCCUGAAAACAAGCCACGGCUAACUACGUGCCAGCAGCCGCGGUAAUACGUAGGUGGCAAGCGUUGUCCGGAUUUACUGGGUGUAAAGGGCGUGUAGCCGGGAAGGCAAGUCAGAUGUGAAAUCCGGAGGCUCAACCUCCGAAUUGCAUUUGAAACUGUUUUUCUUGAGUACUGGAGAGGCAGACGGAAUUCCUUGUGUAGCGGUGAAAUGCGUAGAUAUAAGGAGGAACACCAGUGGCGAAGGCGGUCUGCUGGACAGCAACUGACGGUGAGGCGCGAAAGCGUGGGGAGCAAACAGGAUUAGAUACCCGUGUAGUC
This 443-nucleotide ribosomal RNA is filed under the name uncultured bacterium. RNAcentral describes it as "partial 16S ribosomal RNA". It matches the Rfam family "Bacterial small subunit ribosomal RNA", at positions 338 to 795 of the family's 1533-position model. The record is from RNAcentral.